This 130-nucleotide small nucleolar RNA is filed under the name Sphenodon punctatus (tuatara). RNAcentral's name for it is "Small nucleolar RNA SNORA14 (ENSSPUG00000015414.1)". It matches the Rfam family "Small nucleolar RNA SNORA14". From Rfam's summary of the family: ACA14 is a member of the H/ACA class of snoRNA that guide the sites of modification of uridines to pseudouridines. Lineage: Eukaryota; Metazoa; Chordata; Lepidosauria; Sphenodontia; Sphenodontidae. The record is from Rfam by way of RNAcentral.
AAGCAUUCUCAAACCCCCCUGGUUGUGUUAUAGCUUCCAGGAUAAGGAUGAAUGCAAGAGAAACUGUAGAACUAUCCAAAAUGCAGAGCUUUUCCUCAUAGCGCUGCAUUAUUUCACAUCUUCAACAGUG